This 296-nucleotide ribosomal RNA is filed under the name uncultured bacterium. RNAcentral describes it as "partial 16S ribosomal RNA". It matches the Rfam family "Bacterial small subunit ribosomal RNA", at positions 335 to 625 of the family's 1533-position model. The record is from RNAcentral.
ACUCCUACGGGAGGCAGCAGUGGGAAUAUUGCACAAAUGGGCGCAAAGCCUGAUGCAGCCAUGCCGCGUGUAUGAAGAAGGCCUUCGGGUUGUAAAGUACUUUCAGCAGUGAGGAAGGUGGGUAUGUAUACAUACUCAUUUGACGUUAGCUGCAGAAGAAGCACCGGCUAACUCCGUGCCAGCAGCCGCGGUAAUACGGAGGGUGCGAGCGUUAAUCGGAAUUACUGGGCGUAAAGCGCAUGCAGGUGGUUUGUUAAGUCAGAUGUGAAAGCCCGGGGCUCAACCUCGGAAUUGCA